This 497-nucleotide long non-coding RNA is filed under the name Crocodylus porosus (Australian saltwater crocodile). RNAcentral describes it as "lncRNA (ENSCPRG00005011883.1)". Lineage: Eukaryota; Metazoa; Chordata; Crocodylia; Crocodylidae. The record is from RNAcentral.
AAGACGUACGUCAUGCAGAGCUCCGGAAAGCAAGUCAUGCCAUCUCUAUUUGCUGUGGACUUCUUCCAUCCCCCGCCACCUUCAUGCAUUUGUAAUGUAUAUCAGAAAUAUGAAGCAGAGCUCACUGUGACCAUCCCCGGAAUUAGAUAAAAAAACACCAGCUGGGACACUGGAUAGCAUAAACUUGGCAUACUACAGAAUAACUUUUCAUCCAAAACAUCCCUGAAAGCAGGACAAGACAAAGUCAAUGACACACGGAAAUGGCCCACCACAUAGAGACUAAAUAUAAUGGUGGAUGCAAACAAGCAAAACUACAUAAAUAUACAAUCAUUUUCCAGAGCACAUUUUUUCUGAAGACUCAUUAUAUCUGAUUUUGACUAAAUAGGAAUGCAGACAGCUUGUGCUCAACCUAUAAUUAAGAGACCCCACUUUACAAACUGCAUGAAGAAAUAUGAUUUUUGUCAAAUGUUCACAGAGCUGCUUUCUUUGUAAAUUAA